This 459-nucleotide ribosomal RNA is filed under the name Triticum aestivum (bread wheat). Its description in RNAcentral is "partial small subunit ribosomal RNA". Lineage: Eukaryota; Viridiplantae; Streptophyta; Magnoliopsida; Poales; Poaceae. The record is from RNAcentral.
AUGGCGGCGGCCGGGUCGGGUUGGAGGCAAAAGGCCAUGGGGAAUCUGGUGUCUUUGGGCGCAACAGAGGUUGAUGGAGCUGGCGAUUCGGGCAUGCUCCCGCCCUUAGGCGCUCCACGACGGCGGCCAGUUCGGAGGGAGAAGGCAGAGAGCGAUGGUGAGUCCUGCACCUCUGGGUGGAAGCAGCAGGGUUGGUCGAGCAGUGAAUGUGGUCGGGGUCAGCAGUUGAAGGAGGCUCGCCAGCCGGAGCAGCAGGAGAGCGCCUCGAGGAGUGGAAGGGGGAGGUCGUGCAGGACAUGCCAACAAGAGCAUUAUAGCAAGGAGGAUAGAAUAUUCGAUCAGCCAUAUAUCUUCUUCUCGAUGCAGCCCCGCAUGAGGAGUCAUUCUAGGCAUCCUGGGGUGAUUCAAGAUGCUCAGGUGUAUCACACUGCAUUCUACACAGACCAGCUCAUGGUGUGA